CGGAGAAGGCUAGGCCAGCUUGGCGUUGGUUGUCCAAGUUUAAGGUGGUAGGCUGGAAUCUUAGGUAAAUCCGGGAUUCUAAGGCCGAGAGCUGAUGACGAGUGUUCUUUUAGAACACGAAGUGGUUGAUGCCAUGCUUCCAAGAAAAGCUUCUAAGCUUCAGGUAACCAGGAACCGUACCCCAAACCGACACAGGUGGUUGGGUAGAGAAUACCAAGGCGCUUGAGAGAACUCGGGUGAAGGAACUAGGCAAAAUGGCACCGUAACUUCGGGAGAAGGUGCGCCGGUGAGGGUGAAGCAUUUACUGCGUAAGCCCAUGCCGGUCGAAGAUACCAGGCCGCUGCGACUGUUUAUUAAAAACACAGCACUCUGCAAACACGAAAGUGGACGUAUAGGGUGUGACGCCUCCCCGGUGCCGGAAGGUUAAUUGAUGGGGUUAGCUAACGCGAAGCUCUUGAUCGAAGCCCCGGUAAACGGCGGCCGUAACAAUAACGGUCCUAAGGUAGCGAAAUUCCUUGUCGGGUAAGUUCCGACCUGCACGAAUGGCGUAACGAUGGCGGCGCUGUCUCCACCCGAGACUCAGUGAAAUUGAAAUCGCUGUGAAGAUGCAGUGUAUCCGCGGCUAGACGGAAAGACCCCGUGAACCUUUACUAUAGCUUUGCACUGGACUUUGAAUUUGCUUGUGUAGGAUAGGUGGGAGGCUUUGAAGCGUGGACGCCAGUUCGCGUGGAGCCAACCUUGAAAUACCACCCUGGCAACUUUGAGGUUCUAACUCAGGUCCGUUAUCCGGAUCGAGGACAGUGUAUGGUGGGUAGUUUGACUGGGGCGGUCUCCUCCGAAAGAGUAACGGAGGAGUACGAAGGUGCGCUCAGACCGGUCGGAAAUCGGUCGUAGAGUAUAAAGGCAAAAGCGCGCUUGACUGCGAGACAGACACGUCGAGCAGGUACGAAAGUAGGUCUUAGUGAUCCGGUGGUUCUGUAUGGAAGGGCCAUCGCACAACGGAUAAAAGGUACUCCGGGGAUAACAGGCUGAUACCGCCCAAGAGUUCAUAUCGACGGCGGUGUUUGGCACCUCGAUGUCGGCUCAUCACAUCCUGGGGCUGAAGCCGGUCCCAAGGGUAUGGCUGUUCGCCAUUUAAAGUGGUACGCGAGCUGGGUUUAGAACGUCGUGAGACAGUUCGGUCCCUAUCUGCCGUGGACGUUUGAGAUUUGAGAGGGGCUGCUCCUAGUACGAGAGGACCGGAGUGGACGAACCUCUGGUGUUCCGGUUGUCACGCCAGUGGCAUUGCCGGGUAGCUAUGUUCGGAAUAGAUAACCGCUGAAAGCAUCUAAGCGGGAAACUAGCCUCAAGAUGAGAUCUCACUGGGACCUUGAGUCCCCUGAAGGGCCGUCGAAGACUACGACGUUGAUAGGUUGGGUGUGUAAGCGCUGUGAGGCGUUGAGCUAACCAAUACUAAUUGCCCGUGAGGCUUGACC
This 1475-nucleotide ribosomal RNA is filed under the name metagenome. RNAcentral describes it as "bacterial LSU rRNA". It matches the Rfam family "Bacterial large subunit ribosomal RNA", at positions 1473 to 2925 of the family's 2925-position model. The record is from RNAcentral.